Long non-coding RNA from Ictalurus punctatus (channel catfish), 858 nucleotides. NCBI's taxonomy places the organism in Eukaryota, Metazoa, Chordata, Actinopteri, Siluriformes, Ictaluridae. The record is from Ensembl.
ACCACACUCACCCUUGCUAUCUGUGACACUUAUCAUAGCUGCUAAGCCGAUGCUAGGUGCUAAACCACGAGUCCGAUUUUGCGGACACCCUUUUGUACUGUUAAUGUUUCCUGGAAUCGAUGCACUAGAAAGUAAUCAACUAUCAUUGGACCUGUGUGAUUUUGAGUGCCAUCAAUGAUCACAGAGAUGACCAUCAUUAAAGUCUCACAGGGUCUGAGAGCAGGACAAGAGGCCCUCCUGGUUAGCUGUCUGAAGAGGUGAAAAAGACAAGCCUAUUACAUACAGCAACAAAGGAAAGAAGAACAAGCCAUAGCCUAAAAAGUCCAAUUUGUGCUGAUGGAUUGAACAUGUACGUGAAAUGUCUCUGACCAUUAUUUCAAAUGCAUUUUUGUCUGAAUGUCUGCAGGGGCGUGGAAUAAAAAGCUCUAGAAGCAAACGCAGUACACACAAGGAGUGCAUUGUGAUUUGUGUUGGAACAAACAUAUUUACAUGGAAUUAUUUUUUAAAAGUGACACAUCUGAGUGUUUGUUUUUUCCCUUCAGGUUGUCAAGUUUCCUCCCAGCUCCCAAAACCAUGUCAGUAUGUGGGUUGGCUAUAAGAUGCCCCUAGGUGUGAAUGUGUGCCACUGUGUAUGUUUGUAUCCCAUCCAGGGUUUAUUCCCACCUCAUGCCCAGUGUUCUGAGGAUAGGCUCUGGAUCCACUUUGACCCCGAUCAUGAUAAAGCACUGACUGAAGAUGAGUAAGGGUCGCUUGAGGAGCCUGGAGCCUAUCCCAGGGAACUCAGGGCACAGGACAGGGGUUCACCCUGGAUAGGGUGCCAGCCCAUCGCACAAGCACACACAUUCACACACUACGGAC